GGACGGAGACUUGAUAUGGAC
This 21-nucleotide microRNA is filed under the name Cordylochernes scorpioides. Lineage: Eukaryota; Metazoa; Arthropoda; Arachnida; Pseudoscorpiones; Chernetidae. The record is from RNAcentral.